AUGUCAUCGGACGAUGCGAGGCACAGCACAGAGAAGGCCCCGUCUUCAUCACCGAAAGCGGUAAAACUAAAACGAACUCCUUUAUCUCAAUUUGCUUCUAUAAGCACUCCCACCCCAAAGCCCAUUCAACCGAACAUCGCGAAUAAUGCUGAAAGAGCAGUAAUUAGUACUUUGAAAUCAACGCCUCAGCCGGAAGUGGAAGAUGUCAGCAUACCACGUCCGCCCAGCAAGUUGGUCCGAGUGGCUGAGACUGAAACCUCCAAAUCAUGCUCUACUGCACCCUCCCUAAACCCCAAACCUAUCUGUGAUAAUAGUUUAAGUCCUCUGAUCAAAACCUCCCCCGAAAAGCGGGAAAUCCAAGACCCGAUCGAUCUGAUUCUUCAGAAUCCAUGUAUCGCCGCACCAAUCAGCGAAACGAAUGAAGGAGCCUUAAAAAACAAAGUGUCUGCCCUCAAUUCAUCCCUAGCUUCAAUUUGUAUGUACUCUUCAUCUGAUUCUGAUGGUUCGGAAAGUGAUAAAGAAGAUAUACGAACCUCUGAAGAGAUCGUUAAAUCCGGCCACAGUUCGGAGCCUGCUGAAUCAUGUAUAAAUUAUGAUACCAAUUUAGUGCCUAGUAAUGAAGCUUCCGAGCUUUUGAGUUCCGCUGAAGAGUCAACCAGCUCAGAAAAUAUAGAUAAUUGUACAAAAUCUAUUGACGAAAACAUUUGUGCUCUGAAAAACAAACAUUUUGAUUCCAGCAAGAAUUUCAGCGGUGAAUCGGGGGAAUCGAUCCCUGAAAUUUUUACAGUAAGUAAGACGCUUAGUGAAAAUAAGGGUUCCAUUAAUCUAGAAGGUACCAAUGAUAGCUGUAAGAUUGCGCUUGUAGAAGAGUCUAUAUAUGAUGCUGCGUCCAAAGAUAGUCUGAUAAGUUGUAGUGCAAUUGGAAGUAGCUCCUCAGAGAGUGCAUCUCGCAUUUCUGAGGCCCCCAGUAAGGAAUCCAUCACCCCAAGUUUGGAUCUCAUUGCCAGUGAGGACAGAAACUCUGUCACCAUUGCAGCAAAAAAUGAUGACACUUUUACUCACGUCAAGGAGAAGACUAUACCUUGCCGAACAGAUGAAGGCGUCAGCGGUGAAGGAUUUCUUUUUCCAUCUAGGCAGGAGGAAAAUUUCUCCCAAGAUGCCCCUGUCCCAGAAAUGCAGCGAAUUCCAGUUGGAAAGAGUUCGUCAACAACGUGUUAUGAUAAUCUGGGUCUUGCUAGAAACGAAAAUCUUAGGGAUACUGAGACGUCAGACUCUCCAGACAUAGUGAUGAGUGACAAUCUAAAGUCAAGUAUUGGUAACUCUAACGAAACAACCUUCGAUUGCGAGAAGAUUAUUCCAACAGAGUUGGUUGCAGUCUUAACUGAUGAGAGAAACGCAGACGAAGCUUUAGUCUCUGAACGUGAUAAUCGACCAGAAGAUGCUAGAGAGAUUCGUGCAAAAUCGUCUAAAAUGAUAAACGUUGAGAGCGGUUACUCCUCAUUAGAAAACAACGAAAAAACAGAUCGGAAGUCCCAGGAAAUAAAUGAAACAGAAAUCACCCGAUCUACAGUUGAUUACCUUGAGAGGCAGAGUAGCCCAGAUAUGGAGACUCUCAACUCUUGUGAUCUGAUACAAUCAAAAUUAAGAGAUGAAUCAGUCGAGUCCCACUCCAAAGAUUUAACCUCUGUGGAGGGUGUGAUUACAAAAAAAGAUGGUGCUGUUAAUGUUAACCCCGUAGAAUCCGAAGCUGCUGAUUCCUUUGCUGCCGCAGAAAAAGUAAGCAGUGCUGAGAAAUCAGUAUAUCCCACCCAUAUCUCAGUGUCAAGUGGAGACGUUAUGGAGCAGUUAGAUUUGCCUGAAGGCGUCUUAAACAGGCUGUCCUCAGAUUUGAUUCCUACGAAUUCAGCUGACAUUCCAAAGAAGCAAGUGACAUGUGACAUCGCACUAGAAUCUAAAUGUUCUGAAGUCUCUUCUCUGCAUUUAAAGAAAAAAGGAGACAGUAGCCUUAUGUCAACUGCGUGUUCCUUAAAAAUCCUCGGAGAUCAAACAGUCCCAGAACGAAUAGCACAUAAAGAUCCAGAAUUGAAAGGAAUGUGUGAUCUUACAAGGAAGGAAGAGCAGUUAAACUCUUGCGAUAAAACUAUUGUAUCAACUCUCAAGUCAGCCACAUCAUCAUUUGAAAAUAGUGAAACAAUUGAUGACUCAAAAUCUUUAAAAAACAACAGUAAAACUCUCAGAAGACAGUCGCCGAAAUAUUCAUGCGAUCAAUUUGACUUCGUAUCAAAUCCACAGGGUUUAGAAUUUGAAUCCUCAUCAAAACUAGACAAAAACAGCCCAAUACCAGACGAUUCCAUUUUAUCGUCAAUGCUGAAGAUACCUCCAAAUUCCUCUCCGCGCUUGCCAGGAAUUGGUUCUCUGAAAACAUCUUUAGGGCGCUUUGUAUCCGAUGCAGUCAGUCCUUCAUCAGUGCUGGAAUCGCCGGUCAGAGAGGAAAUCCCAAUUUCAUCAGCCUCCGAAGCAGUCGAAAUAAUUCAAAAUAUAUGUAACUCAGGUCCAUUUUCAAACAGUGCUCAAAUGUUCUCAUCGCCAGAAGUUUCCACUUCUGAUCUGUCUUUAGGGAUUUGUCCUCCUAAGGUUAAUGUGCAGGCGAGCUCGCCCUCUAUGUCAUUAGGUACUUUAGAUCCUUGCCUGACUAGAAGUCCCAAAAGUGGAUCAAACUUUCACGGUGAAACUUCAAAGUCAUUUAAUGCUAACCUUAAGUCUUGCUCAGUGCCUAAUCCAACAAAAAAUGAUAAAUCCGAAGAGUCAGUUUCAUUUUUAGAUCUAAACUCUUUGCUGAACUCAGACCUGAGCAAAUCCUUGGGGAUAAACGUUGAGACAUUCCAGUCCCCUUUGGAUAAGACUGUGGCUGACCCCAAAGAGCCUUACUUCAUGGAUUUCAACAAGUCUGCAGAUGUGCGGUCAGCUAUGAGUGUGUUUGACUCUGCAAUUUCAUCAGCUACGUGUCGGUCAAAUGAGGAUUCUUCCAUAGACAGCGAGCUUUUUGCAACGGCUAGAAAUAUUGAGGCUCAGUUCAGUUUUCGAGAUAAGGAAGAUUCGGCAGACUCAGUGCUGGACUCGGAUUUCUUGGAGGAACCAGUAGAAUAUCCUGUUUUUGAAACGAAAGUGCCUUUUGGAGCAGAGACUCAGUUGCCGUACAGAGCAAAUUUUUCUGGGUCCUCGCUAACCUCAAAGUCGCAGCUUCAUUGUGGCUCGAAAGCAGCAACGCCUCCUCAAAAAACCAAAUCUGCUUUAAAUGUUGCACCCUUAAUCAAAAGUACGCCGUUUGCUUUUUUUCAAGACAAUUCAAAACAGCCCGUGCGCAAACCCAAAGCCCCAUUAAAAGGUACAAGAGCUGCUCAACCUCCUGCUUUCAAAGCUAAUCCCGCAGUCAGAUCUAGAAAUCCCAAAACAGCUCCAGUUCCGAAACUGAAACCAAGUGUGAGUAUAACCACCGUUCGAAAGUGUGAGCCAAAAGAAAGCACGAUCUCAGUUGCGAAACAUCAUCCUGAAAUAAGAAAAGCUCCAGCCUCUAGGCAUGAGCCCCAAGUUAGCAUGCGUCCACCUGCAAACUUCGAAUCCAAAACAAGCCCAAUGCUGGCCUUCAGGCCUGAAACAAUACUUGACUCUAAAAUAACUGUAACUCCUGCUGCUAAACCAGAGCCCAAAGAGAGCAGAAAAUUAAUACCGAGGGUAGAGUCUAAAAAUAAUACAAUAAUAUCACCGAAAAUGGAGCUUAAACUUAACCCAGACGCUCCAGAAAUUCAUGAAACUUUAAAAGAUAUUGCAAUAAGUAAUCCAGAGCCCAAAAUCGAAACAGCUAAAUCGAAAAUUGGAAUUGCCACUGUUUUUAGAAGUCAAUUAGAAGCUGCUUUAAAUCCCAUCAGCCCCAUUGAUAACGAAGAAUCCUCCCACUUGACGGAACCUGCUACACCCUCACCAACAGCCAAUGAAACGGACUCUCAUCCUGUUGAUAAUCCUCCUGUUAUUGCAGAAAUAGUUGAACAAGGCCAUUCAAGUGAGAAAAAAAAUUCGAAAAAGAAGAAAUCACAUUCUAGAGACAAAAAAUCGAAGGAAACAGAUAUUAGCCAUCAAAGCGGUGAAGUUAACCUGUCAAGAUUAAGCUUACCAUUCCAAAAAAUGUCUUAA
This 4188-nucleotide long non-coding RNA is filed under the name Bemisia tabaci. RNAcentral describes it as "lncRNA ENSASIAIIG006249". The record is from RNAcentral. Lineage: Eukaryota; Metazoa; Arthropoda; Insecta; Hemiptera; Aleyrodidae.